ACUUAAUACGUCCAUACUAAAACCAGACAUAAUUAAACUUAACGUGUUUGGUAUUCAACUGGACAACAAUAAUAUUCAAGGUUUGCUAUUCCUCUUAAGGAUAUCGUCUAAAAGAUAAAGUCCUUAAUAAAGCUAAAACCUACAACGUUACAAA
Small nucleolar RNA from Teleopsis dalmanni, 154 nucleotides. Lineage: Eukaryota; Metazoa; Arthropoda; Insecta; Diptera; Diopsidae. The record is from RefSeq and is a predicted model, not a curated record.